UGCACGGCUGGGUUAGAUGAGCCUGCUCUCUAGCUCCAUAAAUGCUGGCAAGCGAUGUGCUUCAACAGUGGUCAAAGUUCCACUCUCCACCUCUGGGCCAAGCUGCCAGGGAGGGGCUGAAGUGGCCCCACUCAACCAGAAAGUCUGCGUGUGGAGCAGGUUCAGGAACUGCUUGUCCUCAUAGUCGAAGCGACUUCCGAAGACAACAGAACUGAUAACAUUGGAGACGGUGCGGCUCAGGAAGAAGUUAAAGGAGGAAGAGGGUCACUGCAUUACACAGAGACACAGACUGAGGCAGAGCCCUGGGUGACUGAAGUUGAUGAUGAAACUCAAGACCAGGGACUUUUUCCUGGGAAAUUCCUUCCUCUCAAAAGGAGGGAAUGGAACACACACUCCGAUGUCUGGGGAAUGGAUCUCAGGCCCAGCUUACCUAAGGAAAAGGGAAUAAAAGCUUCAUUCUUCUUCAGUGCCCCACUGGCAUCCAGAAAGUGUUCAGGGUUGAAGGCAUCUGGUUUUUCAAAGUAACGUGGGUCACGGAGAGCAGAGUUCAGGAUGGGAAAUACUUCAGUGUUCUGAGGGAGGGUCACAAGAUCAAAAGAUAUCCUAUUGCCUGCCCUCCCCAUACAACAACAAUAACAACAACAACAACAACAAACCUAAAAAAAGAAAACCAAAAAUAAUGGGACCAUAUUGAGAAAGCAGCAAAAAGUUAACUUUUGGGAUGAAGACAGCCCAAGAAGCCCAUACAGGAGAGAUGCAGGAGAGAGAUGCAGGACCCCCGCUGGUCUCACCUUGGGGAUGAUGUAGCCUCGGAAGUGGGUGUCUUUGGUGACUACGUGGGGCAAACCAAGGGGGAUAAGGUCUGCAAAUCUCUGAAUCUCGUGGAUGACAGCGUCCGUGUAUGGCAUUUUGACCCGGUCGUCGAGGGCUGGAGGGCGAUGUGUGCCAAUCACCUGUUCAAUCUCCUUGUGGACUCUCUCUGCACAGACAAGGGGACCAGUGAACCCCAUUUCCAAGAGACAUCUCACUGAUUUCUACGGGCCAAUGAGCCAGGAAAAUCCUAUGUUAAAGGGUUAAAUCACUGAUACAGCUCAAUCUAAGCAGCUUGGGGUGAGGGAAGGAGGGAGGAAGCAAAAAGAAUUCUUACCCUACUAGAUAUAAUGAAUGUUAUGGAUUUAUCCCCACAUGCACAGGUACACACACACACACACACCACAAUUUUACAUGGAAUUUCAGAUCAAGAACUCUUGGCUACAAACAUGCUGAAACUCUCUCUCUGAGUAGAAAACAAACUAACAUUUGUUGUGUGUGUAUUAGAAGUGAGGCACUGUGUUAGGUCCUCAAGAAUAUAAGAGUGAAAUGAAUAAAUUACUGCAUGAACAACUGGAUAAAUGAAUGAAUACAUCAAUCAAUCAAUGGAUAGAGCAAUUCAUGAAUGGAAAGAUAGAUGAAUGAAUGAACAAACCAAUAAAUGUAUGUGUAUAUUCAUGUAUUAAUCAAUAGAUGGGUCAAUUAACAAAUCACCAGCUAAUAGAUGGUCCAUAAAGAAAUCAAUGAACCUAUUAUAAUUAAUCAAUAAUCAUAUGAAUGGCUAGAUUUAUGGAAGAUAAGGGAUUGAAAAAAUUAGUGAAGUAUGAGUAAAUAAAUGAAUGUGCAUACUGAAUGAUAAAUAAGUAAGGAAUGAAAAAAUGAGUGAAUUAUUUAAUGGAUAAAUUAAGGAAGGGAUGGAUGGAUACAGAAUGAAUUGAAAAAUGAACCGAUGGAAGGAUUCAGAAAUGACACCUGGGCAGGGCGUGGUGCCUCACGCUUGUAAUCCUAGCACUUGGGAGGCCGAGGUGGGUGGAUCGUUUGAGCUCAGGAGUUUGAGA
This is a long non-coding RNA of Lemur catta (Ring-tailed lemur), 1868 nucleotides long. RefSeq lists it as uncharacterized. NCBI's taxonomy places the organism in Eukaryota, Metazoa, Chordata, Mammalia, Primates, Lemuridae. The record is from RefSeq and is a predicted model, not a curated record. The transcript is spliced from 4 exons.